GAGAGUUAAAUAGUACGUGAAAUUGUUGAAAGGGAAACGAUUGAAGUCAGUCAUGCUAGUGAAAAUUCAGUUUGACGGGAUUUUGCUUUGGGUGUUAGGAUAGAUCCUUAUCUUGAAGUCAGUCGUGCCGGCGUUGGAUUCAGCUUGCUUCGCGGAGCAGGCGUAUUUCCGCGCAUGGCAGGUCAGCGUCAGUUUUGCGCGGCGUGAAAAGGCUCGGGUAAGGUAGCUCUCUUCGGGGAGUGUUAUAGACCUGGGCAGAUGCGCUGCGCGGGACUGAGGAUUGCAGCGGACACCUCUUCGGGGGCGCGGCGACCGAACCCUGCUCGGCCACCCUCGUUCGAUAGCGUGCUAGCGGACGCGGGAGCGGCAGUGCACCGGAACAGGCAAGCCAGCGGUUCGCUAAGGAUGCUGACGUAAUGGCUUUAAACGA
Molecule: ribosomal RNA, 430 nt
Filed under: uncultured Archaeospora
Lineage: Eukaryota; Fungi; Glomeromycota; Glomeromycetes; Archaeosporales; Archaeosporaceae
Description: partial 28S ribosomal RNA
Source: RNAcentral